This 802-nucleotide ribosomal RNA is filed under the name uncultured bacterium. RNAcentral's name for it is "bacterial SSU rRNA". It matches the Rfam family "Bacterial small subunit ribosomal RNA", at positions 8 to 803 of the family's 1533-position model. The record is from RNAcentral.
AGAGUUUGAUCCUGGCUCAGGAUGAACGCUAGCGGCAGGCUUAACACAUGCAAGUCGAGGGGCAGCGGGAUGUAGCAAUACAUUGCCGGCGACCGGCGCACGGGUGCGUAACGCGUAUGCAACCUACCAUAUACAGGGGAAUAACCUUUCGAAAGGGAGACUAAUACCCCAUGGUAUUACUCUCAGGCAUCUGACUGUAAUUAAAGAUUUAUUGGUAUAUGAUGGGCAUGCGUGCCAUUAGUUAGUUGGUGAGGUAACGGCUCACCAAGACAACGAUGGCUAGGGGUUCUGAGAGGAAGACCCCCCACACUGGUACUGAGACACGGACCAGACUCCUACGGGAGGCAGCAGUGAGGAAUAUUGGUCAAUGGACGGAAGUCUGAACCAGCCAUGCCGCGUGCAGGAAGACGGCCCUACGGGUUGUAAACUGCUUUUAUGUGAGAAUAACCCUAGUCUUGCGAGAUUAGCUGAAGGUAUCACAUGAAUAAGGAUCGGCUAACUCCGUGCCAGCAGCCGCGGUAAUACGGAGGAUUCGAGCGUUAUCCGGAUUUAUUGGGUUUAAAGGGUGCGUAGGCGGGCUAAUAAGUCAGUGGUGAAAUCACUCAGCUUAACUGAGUAACUGCCAUUGAUACUGUUAGUCUAGAAUAUAAAUGGUGCAGGCGGAAUGAAUCAUGUAGAGGUGACAUUCAUAGAUAUGAUUCAGAACACCGAUCGCGAAGGCAGCUUGCAAAGAUAUUAUUGACGCUGAGGCACGAAAGCGUGGGUAGCGAACAGGAUUAGAUACCCUGGUAGUCCACGCUGU